GGAAGCGCGUGGCUGGCUGGUGCCGCCCCCAGUCUUCAAAACUGACGAAGGGCGUGAGAAACGUCCUUGGCGGGUUCGAUUCCCGUGCGCUUCCGCCA
Molecule: transfer RNA, 98 nt
Filed under: Deltaproteobacteria bacterium RIFOXYB12_FULL_58_9
Lineage: Bacteria; Deltaproteobacteria
Description: tRNA-Sec
Rfam family: Selenocysteine transfer RNA
Source: RNAcentral